AGUGAACGCUGGCGGUAGGCCUAACACAUGCAAGUCGAACGGCAGCACAGUAAGAGCUUGCUCUUACGGGUGGCGAGUGGCGGACGGGUGAGGAAUACAUCGGAAUCUACUUUUUCGUGGGGGAUAACGUAGGGAAACUUACGCUAAUACCGCAUACGACCUACGGGUGAAAGCAGGGGAUCUUCGGACCUUGCGCGAUUGAAUGAGCCGGUGUCGGAUUAGCUAGUUGGCGGGGUAAAGGCCCACCAAGGCGACGAUCCGUAGCUGGUCUGAGAGGAUGAUCGGCCACACUGGAACUGAGACACGGUCCAGACUCCUACGGGAGGCAGCAGUGGGGAAUAUUGGACAAUGGGCGCAAGCCUGAUCCAGCCAUACCGCGUGGGUGAAGAAGGCCUUCGGGUUGUAAAGCUCUUUUGUUGGGAAAGAAAAGCAGCAGGUUAAUACCCCGCUGUUCUGACGGUACCCAAAGAAUAAGCACCGGCUAACUUCGUG
RNAcentral lists this ribosomal RNA (492 nucleotides) under uncultured bacterium. Its description in RNAcentral is "partial 16S ribosomal RNA". It matches the Rfam family "Bacterial small subunit ribosomal RNA", at positions 29 to 507 of the family's 1533-position model. The record is from RNAcentral.